CCUACGGGGUGCAGCAGUGAGGAAUAUUGGUCAAUGGACGCAAGUCUGAACCAGCCAAGCCGCGUGCAGGAUGACGGCUCUAUGAGUUGUAAACUGCUUUUGUACGAGAGUAAACCCCGAUACGUGUAGCGGGUUGCAAGUAUCGUACGAAUAAGGGUCGGCUAACUCCGUGCCAGCAGCCGCGGUAAUACGGAGGGUACGAGCGUUAUCCGGAUUUAUUGGGUUUAAAGGGUGCGUAGGCUGUUUGAUAAGGUAGAGGUGAAAUGUCGGGGCUCAACCCCGCAACUGCAUCUAAUACUGUUGGACUAGAGUAUCGUUGCGGUAGGCGGAAUGUAUGGUGUAGCGGUGAAAUGCUUAGAUAUCACGCAGAACACCGAUUGCGAAGGCAGCUUACCAAACCAUAUCUGACGUUGAUGCUCGAAAGCGUGGGUAGCAAACAGGAUUAGAUACCCGUGUAGUC
RNAcentral lists this ribosomal RNA (460 nucleotides) under uncultured bacterium. RNAcentral's name for it is "partial 16S ribosomal RNA". It matches the Rfam family "Bacterial small subunit ribosomal RNA", at positions 338 to 795 of the family's 1533-position model. The record is from RNAcentral.